This 1443-nucleotide long non-coding RNA is filed under the name Canis lupus familiaris (dog). RNAcentral describes it as "lncRNA (ENSCAFG00040016881.1)". Lineage: Eukaryota; Metazoa; Chordata; Mammalia; Carnivora; Canidae. The record is from RNAcentral.
AUGCGGGGUUUCAAGUGCAAAGGAGACUCGCAGCCCGCCUGCUGGGUGCCCUGCUUCCUGCCCCGUGUCCCCCUCAGACUCCGAGGGCCGGGCACACACAGCUGCGAGCCAGCUGUCGGAGGACAGGCUGCAGCUGAGUCCAGGCCCUUCGCACACAGGCACACAGGACGGCGGUGGGCUUGGCUUAGACGGCCCUGCCCCAGGAGCCCCUCGCAGCUGCUAGCAGCCCUGCCUUCCCUUCGUCCCGGCCCCCCUCCCUCCUGCACUCGCCCUCGGCCUGGCCCCUGUCCUGUCCCCUGCCUGCCGCCCCUGCCCCGCUCCCUUCGAGCGCCUCGCCCGAACUCUGGGGCCCGGGUCUGGGUGCGGGGGGAACGGGCAGGACAGCCAGGUGAGGGAGCGGCCUGGAGCCUGGAGCAGCAGGCUCAGCCAGCGCCCUGGAGCCCUGGUGGGAAAGCGUGCGGGCUCGGGCGGGAGAGCGCCCUCGUCACCCAGCCCCCGGACCCCCUGACUUGGCCAGCCCUGUCCACCACGUGUUCUGGGGGAGCUAAGACAGCUGCGCAUGGGCCUCCUCCGCAGCCCGGGGCCUCAGGAAAUGCCUGCUCUUCCUCUGGCCUUGCCCCCGACGCCUGCCCUCCUCUGCCUCCUGCCGCCUCCUCCCCGCGCGGGGAGGCCAGAGGGCAGGGGCCCGCUGACUCUUGUGCGGCCGCAGGGACGUGUUGUUCCCAGCUGGGGGGCAGGUUUUUCCUGGGCUCCGGGAGGAGCAGAGGCCUGGGGAGAAAGAGGGGGAAGGGGAAGGCCCGGACUGAGGUGCUGCCUGGCUGGGCUGGGAGUGGCCCCCAAAUUAGAGGGCCCGGCCGGCCGAGUGAUUCAGUGGGCCUUGGGCCGGGCGUGCAGUCCGGCCUUAUUGCAGACUGCAAACCACAGACACGAGAGCCUUCCAGGCGCAAGAACCGUAUUUACAGAGGGAUUGCUCCAGAUGCGUCCCCCAAGUGCAGAAAAGAGCUGCAGGACGCGCAAUGGGCCCUGUGCGGGGUGCUGCCCAUCGUCCCUCCCCGCGCCCCCCGACAAGCACCCUCCAGGAGCGGGCCUGGCCAACACCCAAGGCUGUGCAGUGUGCAGGGGACACUGAGGCUGCUGGGUGCCACUGUGCCGAUUGCCCCCCACCCCGCUGCUCCUUGCCAUGUGCUACUCCUUCCACUACCAACAUUUGUCUUCCCUCCUCUUUCUCUUGUCUACUCCAAGUCACCUCCUCCAGGAAGCCCUUCGGAGCCUCUGGUGCUGUGUGUGGCCCCGGAGAGGCCGAAAACAAGAGUGCCCCAGUCCCAUCCCCACAGGAUGCAGGGCUCAGUUCCCGAGCCCCCAGAGUGGCGUCCCCCAGCAGAGCUCCGGCCACCAUACUCGCGGCUUUUUGCCCCACCGCGACUCCUGGGGCCGAGGAGCUGA